ACCACAGCCACAGCAACACCAGAUCUGAGCUACAUCUACAACCUGUGCUACAACUUGCAGCAACACUGGAUCCUUAACCCACUGAGCAAAAGCAGGAAUCAAAUCUGCAUCAUCAUGGAGACAAGUGUCAGGUCCUUAACUUGCGAAGCCCAACGGGAACUCCUAUAGAUUUUUUUAAAUUAAUAGAAGUAACAAGACAUGUACACACCUUUCUGUGGAACAAGCCAGUAAGUCAAGCUUUCACCGAAUGGUACAUAUCAAUUACCAGAGGACUCCAGAGGAAGUAACAGCCUUGGAUUAAAGGAGACCGAGGUCGGUUCUCCUUUAAGCUACAACUUACAUUAAAAGAAAGGAUGCAAACUGGGCAUAUAGAGGUAGAAGCUGGCCAUCUCAAGCGAGGUCAGCAGAGGAAGAGCAGACUGCAGAUGGUCCCUGACCGACAGUUCCACUAAAGGAUUUUCUGACUUCUCUGUGGUGAGAGAGGGGUAUGUAUUCAGUAGAAACUACACUUGGAUCUCUUCCUGGGCUGCAUGAUGUGACACCAUCUCAUGAUGCAGCAGCAGCAGCAGCUCCCGGGCAGCCCAGCCAUCAUGAGCAUGAACCACCACUACACUUACAAGCACUCUGCAACCACCAGCCCGCUAUGCUGCUUUUCACUUUCAGGACAGCAUUCAAUAAAUUCCAUGAGAUACUCAACAUUUUAUUAUAAAAUAGUAACCCCAUCAAAAGUUGAGAAAGAUCUGUAGGGUCCAGAAAUCACUGGGUUUAUUAAAUGAAUGGUUUGCAUGUUAGUCUGGGCAGAAUUAAAUGCCAGAAGCAAAUGCCAGGGCAGAAUUAAGUGUAUGAGCGUUUUAUUAGGAAACAAACAUAAGAGGAAAAAUGGAGAGGUCUGUAGAAGUCAGGAAGGGUAGGUCUGACCCUGAGUGAUGAAGACAGGAAAGGCAGAUCACUCUGAGGUCUAUGGCCAAUGUCAGCCUCAGAGGGGAACAAGUUACUACGCUCAGUAAUUGGCUGGAAGCUGUGCAUGGGAAGUUGACCUCAUGGGAGGCACUAAGGGUGAUGGCCUCAAGAGGGCAGCACUGACACCGUAGCUCAGUUACACUCCAGGUGGGGGACCUCUCCCGGCCACUAAAUUGUGAGCUGAACAGGUUACUUUUCAUCAUCUUAUAAAAUGUGUUAAAAUAUUCAUUUAUUAACAUUAAAGUAGUUUUCAGUAUUAGUCAGGCAAGUUUAGAGUCUGAUCAGAUUUAAAUCCUAGAUACCACAUAUAUGUGGUUUGAUGCAAGAUAACUAAUACCUCAGAAUCAUGUAGUCUUCAUUUGUAAAAUCAUGAUAAUUAUCCCAAUCUCAUAUAUUUGCUGUAUGCAUGUAAAUUACCCAGCACUAAUGUCCAGCACACAGAGGGGAAAAAAUGGUAAGAGUCUCCUGAUUUAAUAUCUAACAAAAAGUGUAUUCUAAAAUUUUUGAAAGAUGAUUCUAUUCUCAACAAAGGAUAUCUAUUUAAGUUUAGAUAAUCAAUGUUAGCUCCUUUCUAAUAAUAACAGUAUCACUGAAAAUAUUAUGUCCUAUAUCUCUCUGUUAAUAAGGUUUGCCAAAUGACUUGUAAAAGUAAUUUAAAAGGCCAGCAAUUAUAAAGUCACUUGUCACAGAAGUUCAUUUUGUCUGCAGAACUCAUGAAAGUCAGUAUGAUUUCAUUAUGAAAUUGUUCCACAGGCGAUAUGAAAGCAUUUUCAUAUUGUCAACAGAAUAACCAUUGCAUGAGAAAUUAUUACUUAGCACACCUAUCCAUUAACUAAAGUGUACACCUACAAACCAUUAGGAAAUGAAGAAAAUGUAACAAAGUCUCACUAAAUUGACUUUUAAUCUGGUUAGAUUCUUAGGUUCUUAUUCUUUACAACUGCAGUUACUAAACUGCAUAUUCCAAUAAUUUUUCAUAAGAAUGUUCAAAACGUGCCGUGCAUAAAAAUAUUGACCAUACAUUUUUAGUGCAUUAUAUACAGUUUAGAUUAAAUGUAAGGAUACUUAGAAAAUAACAGAGUUCUUCAGAUUUCCUUUGGGAAUUAAACAUAUUUUCAUAUAGUGAAAACAAAAUCAUGACAAAAGAAUCUAUCCAAUUGCAGAUGGUUUGAAAAGUUUCUUUUCAUACUCCACUUGAGUAAAAUAUAAUAAAACUCUGCUCAGAAUCAAAUCCUGAUUAUUUGAUGUUUAAAAUCACCCUUAGUUUCUUUCAGAGGUAGAGAGCACAGAGCCAACACUGGGAAUUAUUAGGGUGUAUUCCUACAGAUAUGUCCUUUGCCUACUGCUACUCAAUUCCUAGUCUUGCAAAAUAUCUUCUUCCUGAUGAAUGUAUCUGUUUAGGAUGAGAACAAGAUGAGCAUAUCAUGUGAAAAGAUGUGUUAUAGUCAACAGAGAACGUCAAGAAUGUCUUCAGUGACAGGAGUUCCCACUGUGGCUCAGUGGUAAUGAACCAAACUAGUAUUCAUGAGGAUGUAGGUUCGAUACCUAGCCUCUCUCAGUGGGCCAAGGAUCUGGCAUUGCUGUGGCUGUGACAUAGGUCAGAGAUGCGCCUCGGAUCUAGUGGUGCUGUUGCUGUGGUAUAGGCCAGCAGCUGCAGGUCCAAUUUGACCCCUAGCCUGGGACCCUCCAUAUGAUGCAGGUGUGGACCUAAAAAAUACACAAACACACACACACGCACACACACACACACAUAUAUAUGUAUAUCUUCGAUUUCAAAGAGCUGUCCAUAUAGUGGAGGAUAUAACACCAAUCAAGCUGGAACUAAACAGGCUCAUAGACAAAGCCAUGAAGUUUAGACAGAGGGACAGUGAGUGACGGCAGAGAAUCAUUCCUUAGCAAAUAUGUAUUAAGGAUCUCUUGUGAGCCAGGACUAUUGCAAGAACUGUAAUAUGGUAAUAAAUAAAAUAAUAAUUCUCUGUCUUCCCAAGGUUUCCAUUCUUGCAGGGGAAUACAAGCAAUAAACAGUGGAAUUAUCUACACUAUGAGAAGCUCUAACACCAAUUGGACAAGAGCACAGAUGCUGGAGACAAACAGCGAGCCUCUGAAUCUCUGCUCUGCUACUUUAUUGCUCUGUAGUCUAGGAUGAACUUUGCAUAUCGGCAGGCCUCAAGUUCCCCACAUGGAAAAUGAAGAUAAUAAAACUGUCUCCUCUUGUUGUUAUGAGGAUUAAGCGAGUUAAUAUAGCUAACGUUCUUAGAACAGUGUAUGGAACAUAAAAUCAUAGAAACACCUGCUGUUAUUACUAUUAAUGCGAUUUAUCAGGUGGAUAGAUGAGCUAUGGGGAAAUUCAUCAGUUGGAGGGGAGGCUGUAUGGGUACCUGAUAGAAGGCGUGUGAUUAGAUGACACCUGAGCAGAGGCCCAGAGAUGAUGCAGAAGGAGGGCUUGCUGACCUCUGGGACGAGAGUGUUCAGGCACAGGGGACAGGAUCAUUUUAGGAGCUUGGCCUUUACAGUCAUUGAUCUGGAACAGUAGAGGGAUUUGGGCAGAAUACGACACGAUCUAACUUACAUUUUUAAAAAGAUCAUACUCCUUAAGCCAACCUAUAUUUUAAAAAAGACCACACUCACUGAUCUGUGGAGCACAGGCUCUCAGGGAUGGAAAAAGACACGCUGUUCGGAAGCUACUGCAAUGAUCUGGGAGAGAGGACGGUGCACUGGACCAGAGUGGCACCGGGGAUGACAUGAAAAACCAACAAACAAAAAACUGAAGUCUACAUAUAUUUUGUAGAUAGAUCUAAUGGGAUUUUUUGACGGAGAAGAUCUAGGUUGUAAAAGAGAAUUCAAGUGGUCUCCCAAGUUUUCAGCUUGAGAGAUUACAAGCAUAGUUUCCAUUUAUCAAGGAAGGAAGGCAGGCCAGUGGAUGGACAAUGUUUUGGCCCCACUGGAAAACGUAAAUUACAAACAAGAAUACAGCUCGCUGAGAUUAGCAAAGACACGGACUGCAAAUGAGAAGCAGAAGAUACAUCCUCUACGUAUGGACAGUUCGUGGAAGAAAGGAUUUUAUUUUGGGGAAGCUUAGGAGAAAUCACCCUUCUUUCUUGCUUCCCUCCCUCAUUCCCUGCUUCCUGUGUAUUUUUCUUCCCUCCUCCCUC
RNAcentral lists this long non-coding RNA (4109 nucleotides) under Sus scrofa (pig). RNAcentral's name for it is "lncRNA (ENSSSCG00040051410.1)". The record is from RNAcentral. Lineage: Eukaryota; Metazoa; Chordata; Mammalia; Artiodactyla; Suidae.